RNAcentral lists this ribosomal RNA (550 nucleotides) under uncultured bacterium. Its description in RNAcentral is "bacterial SSU rRNA". It matches the Rfam family "Bacterial small subunit ribosomal RNA", at positions 355 to 896 of the family's 1533-position model. The record is from RNAcentral.
UAGGGAAUCUUCCGCAAUGGACGCAAGUCUGACGGAGCAACGCCGCGUGAGUGAAGAAGGUUUUCGGAUCGUAAAACUCUGUUGUUAGAGAAGAACAAGUGCUAGAGUAACUGUUAGCGCCUUGACGGUAUCUAACCAGAAAGCCACGGCUAACUACGUGCCAGCAGCCGCGGUAAUACGUAGGUGGCAAGCGUUGUCCGGAUUUAUUGGGCGUAAAGCGAGCGCAGGCGGUUCCUUAAGUCUGAUGUGAAAGCCCCCGGCUCAACCGGGGAGGGUCAUUGGAAACUGGGGAACUUGAGUGCAGAAGAGGAGAGUGGAAUUCCAUGUGUAGCGGUGAAAUGCGUAGAUAUAUGGAGGAACACCAGUGGCGAAGGCGACUCUCUGGUCUGUAACUGACGCUGAGGCUCGAAAGCGUGGGUAGCAAACAGGGUUAGAUACCCUGGUAGUCCACGCCGUAAACGAUGAGUGCUAAGUGUUGGAGGGUUUCCGCCCUUCAGUGCUGCAGUUAACGCAUUAAGCACUCCGCCUGGGGAGUACGACCGCAAGGUUG